This 427-nucleotide unclassified non-coding RNA is filed under the name plant metagenome. Its description in RNAcentral is "partial contains 5.8S ribosomal RNA, internal transcribed spacer 2, and large subunit ribosomal RNA". It matches the Rfam family "Bacterial small subunit ribosomal RNA", at positions 358 to 777 of the family's 1533-position model. The record is from RNAcentral.
GGAAUCUUCCACAAUGGGCGAAAGCCUGAUGGAGCAACGCCGCGUGGGUGAAGAAGGUCUUCGGAUCGUAAAACCCUGUUGUUAGAGAAGAAAGUGCGUGAGAGUAACUGUUCACGUUUCGACGGUAUCUAACCAGAAAGCCACGGCUAACUACGUGCCAGCAGCCGCGGUAAUACGUAGGUGGCAAGCGUUAUCCGGAUUUAUUGGGCGUAAAGGGAACGCAGGCGGUCUUUUAAGUCUGAUGUGAAAGCCUUCGGCUUAACCGGAGUAGUGCAUUGGAAACUGGGAGACUUGAGUGCAGAAGAGGUGAGUGGAACUCCAUGUGUAGCGGUGAAAUGCGUAGAUAUUUGGAAGAACACCAGUGGCGAAAGCGGCUCUCUGGUCUGUAACUGACGCUGAGGUUCGAAAGCGUGGGUAGCAAACAGGA